AUGGCGAAGAAGAGGAAGCGCAGCUCCGAUGCUCCCGCGCCCGCCUCCGUAGAGAAGCCCGACGACUCUGCGCCGGAGCGGCCGGAGCGCACCCUCUUCGGCUUCAAGGACCAGCCGGACUCCGCCGCCGAGCCUGCUUCCAAGGACGCGGGGCCCUUCUUCCGGAACAAGGAAAAGGUGCUCAUUACGUGCUCCCGCCGCAUCAUCUACAGGUACCGGCACCUGAUGCAGAACGUGGUGUCGCUGCUGCCGCACGCCAAGAAGGACAGCAAGGUCGAGUCCAAGCAGAGCAAGUGCAGCGCGCUCAACGAGCUGGUCGAGCUCAGGAGCUGCUCCAGCUGCCUCUUUUUCGAGUGCAGAAAACAGAAAGAUCUUUACCUUUGGAUGGUCAAGUCUCCCGCAGGGCCAUCAGUGAAAUUUCUAGUCAAUGCUGUUCACACUAUGGAGGAACUCAAGCUCACGGGUAACCAUCUGAAAGGGUCACGUCCUCUGCUAACAUUUUCUUCAAAUUUCGACCAGCAACCUCACUGGAAACUCUUGAAGGAAAUGAUAACUCAAAUUUUUGCUACUCCAAAAGAUCAUCGGAAGGCAAAACCUUUUCAUGAUCAUGUGUUUGUCUUCUCCAUUGUGGAUGACCACAUUUGGUUCAGAAAUUACCAGAUUUCUGUACCCCACAAUGAGAUUGAUAAAGUUGAUAAAGGAGGCCUAGAUAAAAUGACACUUGUUGAGGUUGGCCCCAGAUUCUGUUUGAAUCCAAUUAAAAUAUUUGGUGGUAGUUUUGGUGGCCCCACAUUGUAUGAGAACCCAUUCUAUGUGUCUCCCAAUCAGAUCCGCGCUCUAGAGAAGAGGAAGAAGGCAGGCAAGUACGCCAAGAAAGUGAAGGCCAAGGUGAGGAGGAAGAUGCACGAGAUGGAGAACACCCUGGAGCCCGAUGAAUUUGCUGAUCUUUGGAAAGGGGAAGACUAG
This 966-nucleotide ribosomal RNA is filed under the name Triticum aestivum (bread wheat). RNAcentral's name for it is "partial small subunit ribosomal RNA". Lineage: Eukaryota; Viridiplantae; Streptophyta; Magnoliopsida; Poales; Poaceae. The record is from RNAcentral.